This is a long non-coding RNA of Achroia grisella, 418 nucleotides long. RefSeq lists it as uncharacterized. The record is from RefSeq and is a predicted model, not a curated record. The transcript has 3 exons. Lineage: Eukaryota; Metazoa; Arthropoda; Insecta; Lepidoptera; Pyralidae.
UUACAUACCUACUUAUUCAGUCAUAAGAUUGUUCUAAGCUCACAAUGCAUGGAAUAUUCACAAAUAUCUUAUGGUACAUAGAGUUCAUAGCGUUUGCUGUUACAUUGAUCGGUUUCUUCUGUUUGGUUUUAUAUUUAGCAAAUUUGAAUUACGUUUCUUACAAUCCCCGAUUUGACAUGAGGAAAAAAUAUAUGGCUGAUGGUACUUGGUUCAUUCAGAAUUAAUGAAUGAUUUGGAACGGAAGAAACAAAUAAUAUUCCUUCAUGAAUAUACCCGAAAGAAACAGAUACCCCAAAUUCAAGAGCCUUAUCAACGGCCAGUGUGUUUUGAUCUUGGCUGUGUAUGGUUCUGUCGGAUAAUGGGUAGUAUAGUGACUAUAGCUGUUUGUUACUAUUUUGCUUAUGCUUUAAUUACUAAC